Molecule: non-coding RNA, 93 nt
Filed under: Fusobacterium naviforme
Lineage: Bacteria; Fusobacteriati; Fusobacteriota; Fusobacteriia; Fusobacteriales; Fusobacteriaceae
Source: RNAcentral
GAAAGCCGUAUACACCGAGAGGUGUAAGUACGGUUUGGGAGGGAGUGGAAAUAAGUCCUUUUUAUGUGGAGGAUGCGUGGAAGCUUACCUCAU